GAUGAACGCUAGCGGCAGGCUUAACACAUGCAAGUCGAGGGGUAACGGGGUGCUUGCACCGCCGACGACCGGCGCACGGGUGAGUAACGCGUAUACAAUCUGCCUUGUACUGAGGGAUAGCCCAGAGAAAUUUGGAUUAAUACCUCAUAGUAUAUGGACUUCACAUGAGGCUCAUAUUAAAGGUUACGGUACAAGAUGAGUAUGCGUUCUAUUAGCUAGAUGGUAAGGUAACGGCUUACCAUGGCUACGAUAGAUAGGGGCCCUGAGAGGGGGAUCCCCCACACUGGUACUGAGACACGGACCAGACUCCUACGGGAGGCAGCAGUGAGGAAUAUUGGACAAUGGGCGAGAGCCUGAUCCAGCCAUGCCGCGUGCAGGAUGACGGCCCUAUGGGUUGUAAACUGCUUUUAUACAGGAAGAAACACCCCGACGUGUCGGGACUUGACGGUACUGUAAGAAUAAGGAUCGGCUAACUCCGUGCCAGCAGCCGCGGUAAUACGGAGGAUCCAAGCGUUAUCCGGAAUCAUUGGGUUUAAAGGGUCCGUAGGUGGACAAUUAAGUCAGAGGUGAAAUCCUGCAGCUCAACUGUAGAAUUGCCUUUGAUACUGGUUGUCUUGAGUUAUUAUGAAGUAGUUAGAAUAUGUAGUGUAGCGGUGAAAUGCAUAGAUAUUACAUAGAAUACCAAUUGCGAAGGCAGAUUACUAAUAAUGAACUGACACUGAUGGACGAAAGCGUGGGGAGCGAACAGG
RNAcentral lists this ribosomal RNA (749 nucleotides) under uncultured bacterium. Its description in RNAcentral is "bacterial SSU rRNA". It matches the Rfam family "Bacterial small subunit ribosomal RNA", at positions 28 to 776 of the family's 1533-position model. The record is from RNAcentral.